AACGAACGCUGGCGGCAUGCCUAACACAUGCAAGUCGAACGAGACCUUCGGGACUAGUUGCUCACGGGUGCGUAACGCGUGGGAACCUGCCCUAAGGUUCGGAAUAACUCCCCGAAAGGGGUGCUAACACCGGAUAAUGUCUUCGGACCAAAGAUUUAUCGCCUUUGGAUGGGCCCGCGUUGGAUUAGCUAGUUGGUAGGGAAAAAGCCUACCAAGGCGUCGAUCCAUAGCUGGUCUGAGAGGAUGAUCAGCCACACUGGGACUGAGACACGGCCCAGACUCCUGGGGGACGGCGGAGUGGGGAAUAUUGGAAUAGGGGCGAGAUCCUGAUCGCACUAUGGCGCGUGAGUGGUGGAGGCCUGAGGGUUGUAAAGCUCUUUUACCCGAGGUGGUAAUGACGGUACCGGGAGAAUAAGCACCGGCUAACUCCGUG
RNAcentral lists this ribosomal RNA (433 nucleotides) under uncultured bacterium. RNAcentral describes it as "partial 16S ribosomal RNA". It matches the Rfam family "Bacterial small subunit ribosomal RNA", at positions 29 to 507 of the family's 1533-position model. The record is from RNAcentral.